AGGGCACCACCAGGAGUGGAGCCUGCGGCUUAAUUUGACUCAACACGGGAAAACUCACCCGGCCCGGACACUGGAAGGAUUGACAGAUUGAGAGCUCUUUCUUGAUUCAGUGGGUGGUGGUGCAUGGCCGUUCUUAGUUGGUGGAGUGAUUUGUCUGGUUAAUUCCGAUAACGAACGAGACUCUAGCCUAUUAAAUAGAUCGUUGGCUUACAAACGCCGGCGAGACUCCUUAGAGGGACAGGCGGCGAUUCAGCCGCACGAAACAGAGCAAUAACAGGUCUGUGAUGCCCUUAGAUGUCCGGGGCCGCACGCGCGCUACACUGAAGUGAUCAGCGUGCAUUUUGAAACCUACUCUGUCAAGAGUGGGGAACCCAAUGAACCUUCUUCGUGAUUGGGAUAGGGGAUUGUAAUUAUUCCCCUUGAACGAGGAAUUCCCAGUAAGCGCGAAUCAUAAGUUUGCGCUGAUUACGUCCCUGCCCUUUGUACACACCGCCCGUCGCUACUACCGAUUGAAUGUUU
RNAcentral lists this ribosomal RNA (519 nucleotides) under uncultured eukaryote. RNAcentral's name for it is "SSU rRNA". It matches the Rfam family "Eukaryotic small subunit ribosomal RNA", at positions 1161 to 1698 of the family's 1831-position model. The record is from RNAcentral.